This 552-nucleotide ribosomal RNA is filed under the name uncultured fungus. Its description in RNAcentral is "SSU rRNA". It matches the Rfam family "Eukaryotic small subunit ribosomal RNA", at positions 20 to 575 of the family's 1831-position model. The record is from RNAcentral. Lineage: Eukaryota; Fungi.
GUAGUCAUAUGCUUGUCUCAAAGAUUAAGCCAUGCAUGUCUAAGUAUAAGCAAUCUAUACGGUGAAACUGCGAAUGGCUCAUUAAAUCAGUUAUCGUUUAUUUGAUAGUACCUUACUACUUGGAUAACCGUGGUAAUUCUAGAGCUAAUACAUGCUAAAAGGCCCGACUUCGGAAGGGUCGUAUUUAUUAGAUAAAAAACCAAUGCCCUUCGGGGCUCCUUGGUGAUUCAUAAUAACUUAACGAAUCGCAUGGCCUUGCGCCGGCGAUGGUUCAUUCAAAUUUCUGCCCUACCAACUUUCGACGGCUGGGUCUUGGCCAGCCGUGGUGACAACGGGUAACGGAGGGUUAGGGCUCGACCCCGGAGAAGGAGCCUGAGAAACGGCUACUACAUCCAAGGAAGGCAGCAGGCGCGCAAAUUACCCAAUCCUAACACAGGGAGGUAGUGACAAGAAAUAACAAUACAGGGCUUUUACAAGUCUUGUAAUUGGAAUGAGAACAAUUUAAAUCCCUUAUCGAGGAACAAUUGGAGGGCAAGUCUGGUGCCAGCAGCC